RNAcentral lists this ribosomal RNA (618 nucleotides) under uncultured bacterium. RNAcentral's name for it is "bacterial SSU rRNA". It matches the Rfam family "Bacterial small subunit ribosomal RNA", at positions 338 to 954 of the family's 1533-position model. The record is from RNAcentral.
CCUACGGGAGGCAGCAGUAAGGAAUAUUGGACAAUGGUGGCAACACUGAUCCAGCCAUGCCGCGUGCAGGAUGACGGUCCUAUGAAUUGUAAACUGCUUUUAUACGGGAAAAACCCUCAAGACGUGAUUUUGAGCUGAUUGUACCGUAAGAAUAAGGAUCGGCUAACUUCGUGCCAGCAGCCGCGGUAAGACGAAGGAUCCAAGCGUUAUCCGGAUUUAUUGGGUUUAAAGGUGCGUAGGCGGACUCAUAAGUCAGUGGUGAAAUCCCAAAGCUUAACUUUGGAACUGCCAUUGAUACUGUAAGUCUUGAGUAUGUUUGAAGUGGGCGGAAUGUAUUGUGUAGCGGUGAAAUGCUUAGAUAUAAUACAGAACACCAAUUGCGAAGGCAGCUCACUAAACCAUAACUGACGCUGAGGCACGAAAGCAUGGGGAGCAAACAGGAUUAGAUACCCUGGUAGUCCAUGCCCUAAACGAUGAAUACUCGAUAUGUGCGAUAUACAGUACGUGUCUAAAGCGAAAGCAUUAAGAUUCCACCUUGGGGAGUACGCUCGCAAGAGUGAAACCUUAAAUGAAAUUGACCGGNUUGAGACGNGCGACGGACGACACGAGGGAGGUAGG